CGGCACGGUGACAACUGGCGAGGACGUGUGGCUCACAGUUCUGAGGACCUGGAUUCAAAUCUGGUCUCGCCUGUGUGGAGUUUGCAUGUUCUCCACCGUGUCUGCGUGGGUUUUCUCCAGGUCGCCAGCCCAGUUCAGGGUGUAGCCCGCCUCUCGCCCCGAAGAUAGCUGGGAAGGACUGCAGCACGCCCGCGAACCUAGUGACCCUGCCAAACUGCCGCUUGUUGUGACGUGAAACGUCUGAGGAUCCACUAUACUCGUCUGAGCUUCCCAAGAACAACAAGUUGUGUACGCCGACCCCGGCCCCGCGUCUAACUCGCCCCCAAAACUUGGGACAGGUCACCGAAGUCGCAGUCGA
Long non-coding RNA from Phyllopteryx taeniolatus (common seadragon), 358 nucleotides. RefSeq lists it as uncharacterized. The record is from RefSeq and is a predicted model, not a curated record. The transcript is spliced from 3 exons. Lineage: Eukaryota; Metazoa; Chordata; Actinopteri; Syngnathiformes; Syngnathidae.